AUAUUGCACAAUGGGCGAAAGCCUGAUGCAGCCAUGCCGCGUGUAUGAAGAAGGCCUUCGGGUUGUAAAGUACUUUCAGUUGUGAGGAAGGUUGUGUAGUUAAUAGCUGCAUAAUUUGACGUUAGCAACAGAAGAAGCACCGGCUAACUCCGUGCCAGCAGCCGCGGUAAUACGGAGGGUGCGAGCGUUAAUCGGAAUUACUGGGCGUAAAGCGCAUGCAGGUGGUUUGUUAAGUCAGAUGUGAAAGCCCGGGGCUCAACCUCGGAAGGUCAUUUGAAACUGGCAAACUAGAGUACUGUAGAGGGGGGUAGAAUUUCAGGUGUAGCGGUGAAAUGCGUAGAGAUCUGAAGGAAUACCAGUGGCGAAGGCGGCCCCCUGGACAGAUACUGACACUCAGAUGCGAAAGCGUGGGGAGCAAACAG
RNAcentral lists this ribosomal RNA (422 nucleotides) under uncultured bacterium. Its description in RNAcentral is "bacterial SSU rRNA". It matches the Rfam family "Bacterial small subunit ribosomal RNA", at positions 361 to 775 of the family's 1533-position model. The record is from RNAcentral.